UACGGGGGGGGCAAGCGUUGUCCGGAUUUACUGGGCGUAAAGGGCGCGUAGGCGGUCGUGACAAGUCACUUGUGAAAUCUCCGGGCUUAACUCGGAACGGUCAAGUGAUACUGUCGGACUAGAGUACAGAAGGGGCAACUGGAAUUCUCGGUGUAGCGGUGAAAUGCGUAGAUAUCGAGAGGAACACCUGCGGCGAAGGCGGGUUGCUGGGCUGAUACUGACGCUGAGGCGCGAAAGCCAGGGGAGCGAACGGG
This 254-nucleotide ribosomal RNA is filed under the name uncultured bacterium. RNAcentral's name for it is "partial 16S ribosomal RNA". It matches the Rfam family "Bacterial small subunit ribosomal RNA", at positions 524 to 776 of the family's 1533-position model. The record is from RNAcentral.